UGGGGAAUUUUGGACAAUGGGCGAAAGCCUGAUCCAGCCAUGCCGCGUGCAGGAUGAAGGCCUUCGGGUUGUAAACUGCUUUUGUACGGAACGAAAAGACUCUGGUUAAUACCUGGGGUCCAUGACGGUACCGUAAGAAUAAGCACCGGCUAACUACGUGCUAGCAGCCGCGGUAAUACGUAGGGUGCAAGCGUUAAUCGGAAUUACUGGGCGUAAAGCGUGCGCAGGCGGUUAUAUAAGACAGAUGUGAAAUCCCCGGGCUCAACCUGGGAACUGCAUUUGUGACUGUAUAGCUAGAGUACGGGCAGAGGGGGGAUGGAAUUUCCCGCGUGUAGCAGUGAAAUGCGUAGAUAUGCGGAGGAACACCGAUGGCGAAGGCAAUCCCCUGGGCCUGUACUGACGCUCAUGCACGAAAAGCGUGGGAAGCAAAACAGGAUUAGAUACCCUGGUAGUCCACGCCCUAAACGAUGUCAACUGGUUGUUGGGGUCUUCACUGACUCAGUAACGAAGCUAAACGCGUGAAGUUGACCGCCUGGGGGAGUACGGCCGCAAGGUUUGAAAACUUAAAAGGAAUUGACGGGGGUCAUAGCUGUUUCC
RNAcentral lists this ribosomal RNA (597 nucleotides) under uncultured bacterium. Its description in RNAcentral is "partial 16S ribosomal RNA". It matches the Rfam family "Bacterial small subunit ribosomal RNA", at positions 355 to 933 of the family's 1533-position model. The record is from RNAcentral.